GCAGGUUCUAUUGAUAAAGGCAUAAAUUUACAAUUGUAUUGAUAAACUUUGGUUUACAAAAGUCCUAGCCUAUGAUCUAAGGACAUGCUGGCAUUACAAGAGAAAUUAUUCAAGCAUUGGAAUAGCAUAGCAGCUAAACAAUACAACUCAUUGCACUCUCUUCUUCAAGUAAUUCCAAGAAUUUACGAGACAUGUCCCGAUAAGCAUACCGCAACCUGCACAAUCCAAAAGCCUAUCACAUAAGUGAAAGAAAAGCCAAGAACACUACAAUCAUCAUGAAUGGAGCGGAGCAUACACCUAGACUGAACCUACAGUUGAAGACAAAGCUUAAAAAUGUACAUGGUUAUUACAAUCUCAUGGUAUUCAAACCUGAUUUUCCUGCAACAACAGAGUUGUGUUUCGAAUUCACGAGCCACAGCGAUUCGGCCACCAUGUCGUACUUUGCUUUGUCCAGCAGGCACAAACCUGCAUAAUUAGAAGAUCGCAUCACACGAACCACAGUGAGAAAUGCUAGAACCAGCACAUAAGUGUGUUGUCUGAGCUCCUUUACCUAAUUAAACAAGAAUUGGUAAACUUUACAGUGAGUGCUACAAUGGUUGACAAAACAAAGCCAAAACCAGACUCAUCGGCACAUUACAAAUGUAAGUCGAUUACAUUGUCGUUGGGACAAUACAUAUCACCUCAUUAAAACGAAAGCUAAGACUACAAAGUACAUGUACCUGCAUCACAAGUUUUCACAAGAUUACAAAGUACAUCAGUGAAAAGCAAAGCCAGCGAGGUUGAAUCAAAUUCAUAACAGCUCAAACGGCUAUAGAGUUAAAUAUCAUCACCAUCCAAGUCAUAGACUUGCAGCAUAAUCCAGGCUACAUCACCACCCAAGCCAUGACAUUCACCUGCAAUCAACUCACAAAACCAUGAGAACCGUGACUCGUAAUCACAUAGGAAGAAGGUGAGGCCUACGUAAGGGCCAAGACAUAACGAGUGUCGCAAGCUUCCGUAAUAAAGUUUAAGAUGAACAUACCAUGAUUUAGAAAACCUGGUCUAUAAACAAAGACCUGCCACAAGAUUGCAGCACAAGACCUGCAGCCUACACAUAGAAAUAUUGCUCAGGAUCCCACCUUUCACUCAUGACAUACCUGUUACAACAGAAAUGGAGAAAUCAACAUAACUUGAGCUGUUUAUUCCAAAAACACAAGACCAAACAUAAAAAAAAACAUGAAUAUGCAAGUUACCUUAAAUAAGUCCCAAAACCCCUGUUUAAGGUUGGAUCUAGAGUAAGCCUCAAGGACGAUUGUUGCAUGACAUUUGAUUACGGUGUGCUUAAGGUUGAAUCCAUGCGGAUAUUUCUCCAGGACCAUUCUCAUUCAUUCUAAACCCCACAAGUCACUUGCCAAUCCAAGGUUACAACUUAAGCGA
Molecule: long non-coding RNA, 1416 nt
Filed under: Lathyrus oleraceus (garden pea)
Lineage: Eukaryota; Viridiplantae; Streptophyta; Magnoliopsida; Fabales; Fabaceae
Description: Pisum sativum (pea) long non-coding RNA (PSAT_LNC001881)
Source: RNAcentral